Molecule: signal recognition particle RNA, 303 nt
Filed under: Saimiri boliviensis boliviensis (Bolivian squirrel monkey)
Lineage: Eukaryota; Metazoa; Chordata; Mammalia; Primates; Cebidae
Description: Metazoan signal recognition particle RNA (ENSSBOG00000004550.1)
Rfam family: Metazoan signal recognition particle RNA
About the family: The signal recognition particle (SRP) is a universally conserved ribonucleoprotein.
Source: RNAcentral
GCUGGGCACGGUGGUGCGUGCCUGUAGUCCCAGCUAUUUGGGAGGCUGAGGCUGGAGGAUCUCUUGAGUCCAGGAGUUCUGGGCUGUAGUGCGCUAUGCCGAUCGGGUGUCCACACUAAGUUCGGCAUCAAUAUGGUGACCUCCCAGGAGCGGGGGACCACCAGCUUGCCUAAGGAGGGGUGAACCGGCCCAGGUCGGAAAUGGAGCAGGUCAAAACUCCCGUGCUGAUCAGUAGUGGGAUCGAUCGUGCCUAUGAAUAGUCACUCCAGCCUGGCCUGGGCAACAUUGUGAGACCCUGUCUUU